CUGAGCUGCGCGGUCUACGCAGGCUCGGCGGUCUGUACGAAGCCGUCCGUUCCGGCACGGGACGGCACAGAUGAAAAGGA
RNAcentral lists this non-coding RNA (80 nucleotides) under Enorma timonensis. RNAcentral describes it as "aspS RNA". It matches the Rfam family "aspS RNA". The record is from RNAcentral. Lineage: Bacteria; Bacillati; Actinomycetota; Coriobacteriia; Coriobacteriales; Coriobacteriaceae.